GCGGGCGUGGCGAAACUGGUAGACGCAAGGGACUUAAAAUCCCUCGGCCUUGGCUUUACGGGUUCGACCCCCGUCGCCCGCACCA
This 85-nucleotide transfer RNA is filed under the name Rhizobium leguminosarum. Its description in RNAcentral is "tRNA-Leu". It matches the Rfam family "tRNA". Rfam says of the family: Transfer RNA (tRNA) molecules are approximately 80 nucleotides in length. Lineage: Bacteria; Pseudomonadati; Pseudomonadota; Alphaproteobacteria; Hyphomicrobiales; Rhizobiaceae. The record is from RNAcentral.